GCAUGUGGUUGAGUUGGUAGAGUGUUUGUCUAGCAUGCAAAAAUUCCUGCGUUUGAUCCCCAGCACUACA
RNAcentral lists this transfer RNA (70 nucleotides) under Mus musculus (house mouse). Its description in RNAcentral is "tRNA-Ala". The record is from RNAcentral. Lineage: Eukaryota; Metazoa; Chordata; Mammalia; Rodentia; Muridae.